AAAAGUGUCCUUUCACUGUAAGCUUAUAUAUAUAUAUAUAUAGAUAUAUAUAUAUAUAUAUAUAUAUAUAUAUAUAUCUAUAUAUAUAUCUAUAUAUAUAAGCUUACAGUGAAAGGACACAAGC
Molecule: non-coding RNA, 124 nt
Organism: Pelobates cultripes (western spadefoot toad)
Lineage: Eukaryota; Metazoa; Chordata; Amphibia; Anura; Pelobatidae
Source: the annotation of a GenBank genome assembly